RNAcentral lists this ribosomal RNA (202 nucleotides) under uncultured bacterium. RNAcentral describes it as "partial 16S ribosomal RNA". It matches the Rfam family "Bacterial small subunit ribosomal RNA", at positions 524 to 724 of the family's 1533-position model. The record is from RNAcentral.
UACGAAGGGUGCAAACGUUGCUCGGAAUUAUUGGGCGUAAAGCGCACGUAGGCGGCUUUGCAAGUCCCAUGUGAAAUCCCACGGCUUAACCGUGGAAGUGCAUGGGAAACUGCAGAGCUUGAGUACUUAAGAGGAGUCGCGGAAUUCCCGGUGUAGAGGUGAAAUUCGUAGAUAUCGGGAGGAACACCAGUGGCGAAGGCGG